AAGUCGAACGGAAAGGCCCUGCUUGCAGGGUACUCGAGUGGCGAACGGGUGAGUAACACGUGGGUGAUCUGCCCUGCACUUCGGGAUAAGCCUGGGAAACUGGGUCUAAUACCGGAUAGGAGCCAUUUUUAGUGUGAUGGUUGGAAAGUUUUUUCGGUGUAGGAUGAGCUCGCGGCCUAUCAGCUUGUUGGUGGGGUAAUGGCCUACCAAGGCGGCGACGGGUAGCCGGCCUGAGAGGGUGGACGGCCACAUUGGGACUGAGAUACGGCCCAGACUCCUACGGGAGGCAGCAGUGGGGAAUAUUGCACAAUGGGCGCAAGCCUGAUGCAGCGACGCCGCGUGGGGGAUGACGGCCUUCGGGUUGUAAACUCCUUUCGCUAGGGACGAAGCUUUUUGUGACGGUACCUAGAUAAGAAGCACCGGCUAACUACGUGCCAGCAGCCGCGGUAAUACGUAGGGUGCGAGCGUUGUCCGGAAUUACUGGGCGUAAAGGGCUCGUAGGUGGUUUGUCGCGUCGUCUGUGAAAUUCCGGGGCUUAACUCCGGGCGUGCAGGCGAUACGGGCAUAACUUGAGUACUGUAGGGGCAACUGGAAUUCCUGGUGUAGCGGUGAAAUGCGCAGAUAUCAGGAGGAACACCGAUGGCGAAGGCAGGUUACUGGGCAGUUACUGACGCUGAGGAGCGAAAGCAUGGG
Molecule: ribosomal RNA, 693 nt
Filed under: uncultured Actinomycetales bacterium
Lineage: Bacteria; Bacillati; Actinomycetota; Actinomycetes; Actinomycetales
Description: bacterial SSU rRNA
Rfam family: Bacterial small subunit ribosomal RNA
Source: RNAcentral